CGGUGAUCUUUGCCGGUCCUCGAUCGAUAGGAAUCCACCAAUCGACCUUGCUGCAACUCCUCGCAGCGUCAACGCCUCAACUCCUCAAAGCGUCCACCGAAUCCUCGGCUUCGCGCGAGAUCCUCGCGCCGAACCUCCUUCCGGAGCUUGUAGAAUUGAAGAUUUGCGGUGAUUUAUCUUUUGAAAACCAUAAGCUAUGAGGAUUCACCUUUAAUCAAUCAUCUACUUGAUUCUUGUAAGAAAUAUUGAGUAAAAACGAAGAAACAAGCCGAUGUUGAUUGCUAGAAACUCAUCAUGUAAAUCGAAGCGAAGAAAACGAGUUUCUAGGGUUUAGAAUUGGUAAAAUAUUCAAAGCCUUAAUUUUAGAUGACCCACAUAGCUUAUUUAUAUGUUUAGAAGACUUAGAAGUAGACUAGGAUUGCAAAAAGUCGAUUUCAAAAACCUGUGUCGUCCUCAGAGACCGGUCCUGUCGAGGAGACCGGUCUGUGAGAGACCGGUCUCUCAAGUGAGGAACCGGUCCCUCCCUGCGUGACCAAAAACCCCACGUUCGGGAACCGGUCUCUCAAACUUGAGACCGGUCCCUCGCUGCGUGACAGAACCACCAAGGUUCGGGAACCGGUCUCUCAUCACAGGGGACCGGUUGCAUCAGGAAUUACGCAGUGAGGACCUUGGGGGAACCGGUCUCUCCAUUUCAGAGACCGGUCCCAGAACACAAGAAAGUUCAGUAAAUAUGUUUAAAAACAAUCUAAGCCUUCUGAACUUAUUUUAAUCACGUAACUUCACCACAAAUGAUUUUUUCUACAUACCUUAGGUGUCGAUCUUUCUGAAUAAGUCUUUGUCCUCUAAUUUGAAUCUUUUCUCGAAAUCUUCUGCGAUCAACUCUUCAAGACUCCAAACAACUUUACGAAAUUCGCCAACCUAUAAAAUCCUUAACAUCCGACUCGACCCACAAAACUUGCCAACACAUAGGACCUAACAGGAACCAUGAUUCCUAUUAUGAAAAUGAAUAUUGCUUUCAUGCAUUUAACCUUUAUGCCCAAUUGUGACAUUAGAGACUUUGGAAGCCUAGUGAGGCUUGGAGACUUAGACUGUUGAGAAUUUGGGCCAAUGUCAUAAAGAGGCAUUGGGCUCCGACCAUAGUGAGUAUUGAUGUUAAUGUCUUAAAUCGGAACUUAGAACGUGAUUUGGGCUUGAUUAGUGGUGGUGCUUAAGUGUCAUAAAGAGGUACUAAGCAAGUAAGUGUUGGGUUAUCACAUUGUGACCUAGAGCUAGACCGUUGGGUUACUAGUAGCUAUUGCCAUGUUUGAGACAUGAGGGUUGGAUACUUGAGUCUUUGACUACGCUUGCUUGCCAUUUGUGCUAUUCGCACAUGCUUGUGAGGGUCGCUCCCUACAAGCCGGCACUUCGGAGUUAGCCUAUGCGACUUAUGUUCUCUCGUGCGGUAUUGAGAAGCCUACGGGGUCGAGUGGGACAGACACAUUCCAAGAGUAGGGAUGUUGGGCUACCACAGGCACUUAGGCGGCACAAGCCGGACUACCUUUGGUAGGUCCUUAAUUGGAAAUGGAAAUCGACACAGUGUUGAGUGCGUUAUAAUCACUACUAGAUAGAGAGUAGUAGUUGGAUUACUUGGAUUUGCUUCUAGCAUAGUGUUGGACACUUGAGUAUAAAUACAUACAUGUAGCAUGCUAGGAGAGGUUGUUUAUUGCAUUCCUGUAAACAUUGUUUACCAUAGUAAAGUAUGAGCUUCAUAGUUUCAUAAAACAAAUCAUGAUUGUUACUUGUGGUCAUGUAGGGAUAUGUGUUCAUUGUGAAAUAAGGUUCAUCUUAAUUGAGACAAUGUAGUAUCUUAGCAUUUUAAUUAUACUUUCUUAAAUGCAAUUUAUUCAUUAUUAUUGCUCUUUUGACUUACCCUUUCUUUGGGGCCUAGUGGUGCAUUUAGCUGAGGUCAGUAAUUGCCCACUGGGAACUAUAAAUUAUAGUUCUCACGCCCUCUGUUUUAUAUUUCCUUUCAGAGCCUUCCACGCCGGGAGAGGCUAGGGACCGUGGGAAGGGCGUUGCUUCGAGCUAGCUCUUCAGCGAGUGACGAGUUCUAGGUGGUCUACCUCUCGAUGUAUUUUAUUUUGGAGAGGUUGAGAGCUGUACCAGUGUACUAGAGACACCCUUUUGUGUACUUUUUGGGACAGAUAUUGUAUCACUUUGUAUUUCACUCUUAUUGCUUCAGUAUUGUCCUUUUACCUUGUUGUAGAUGAUAGAAUCAUACUGCUCUGAUAUCAUUAGUUGUUGCUCUUUCCUUUCGGCUAUGUUUCUUGCUUUACUUUCGCUUUUAUUGUAGACGCCUUAUAUGUGCAGACAUAUGGCGGGUCUGGGCGCGCUUUCGGGAGGGCCUCCGCCGUUCCCGGGGCGUGACAACUGCUUUGAGAUAUAUAUCUAUCUAUCUAUCUACUUGUUGUUGCUUGUGCCCACUUGGACCUAGUGGGGAGGUCGGCAGAGUCGGCGGCCGAGCCCACUGGAAACUAUGGAAGAUAGUUCUCACCCCACUCUAUUUCCAGUGGUAGGUACAGGACUGUCGAGAGAGGACCGCGGCAAGGGCAUCGCGCCCGAUCAGUGAGACCGUGGUAGUGUAGUAGCUUUCCUUUUACAUUAGUACACCUAUGUAUUGAGAGAGAUUCAUUGUAGGUGAGGAUUUGGAGAGCUAUGUAUUUUGGAUGAAUUAUGUAAGCAUUUAAAGAAAAUGAUGUAAAUGAAAAUGAUGCAAAACUAUUGUAAUAGUUAGUAAAGUACUCUCUUUAUUUCACAUAUUUUUUCUUGUGGAUUACUUGCUCUUUGUAUUAUUGGCACUGUUUGUGUCCUUGUGAAUGUGCAUGUUUAGAAUAUAAUUUCCUGGGUAAAUUCUUGUGCACAUUCCUGUUGUUGAGCCUCGAGCGGACCGGGAAGUGCUGUCCGUUCGGCAGUCCGCCGCCGCGGCCGAAUCGUGCCAAAUGGGUAGUGGUUUCGGGGCGGGGCGUGACAGUCCUUGUGGUAUCAGAGCAAUGAGAGCAAGUGAAGAGAGAAAGUCUAGGAUGACCUAGGAGACUCUAGGUUGGUAAGCCCUAAGGUUAUAGGUGCGUGAGCGGAACGUGAACCUAUGGCGAUGGCGGAAGUGGAUUCGAUUGGGUCGAAGUUGGUAAUAUGUCUCUAGUUGUGAUUGGAGACGAAUUCAAGUGGUAUGAGCUCUUGUCUUGAGGUGGUUGUGUCGGCGGCCGACGACAUGAUACCAAGAGUCUAGAAUGAGUACACUUGUGUGGUUCCGCCCGAUUUUGUUGUUGAGUCGUCAUGUGUCGUAAUUUCGACGAGGUAAUUGGUUGAGAUGACUGACAAAGUAAUUGCGUUUCAGGGACUAAUAUCUCCAAGACGCUACACAUGUAGAUCUGCUCCAGCACCGAUUCCUGAGGUGCUCGAGCAGACGGAGCCGAGAAUGAUGGAUCGGCUGCAGGCGCAAGUGACUGCGUUGACCAAUGUGGUGCAGCGCCAGGAGACCCGAUUUGAGCGGCUCCAGGAGCUUCUAGAGCGGCAGGUUGCAGCAGCGGCUGCGACGGUGGCUGAGGGCGGUGGUCCGCCCGCACCCUCGACCCGUGUACCCGAGGUGGCGGAGGGUGAGGGUAUAGCGGCGGUUCCAGUGACGGCACGUGUCAGGCCCCGGGACACAGCGGAAGCCCGCCCGGCACGUGCACAGACCCGCCAUACGUCUAAAACAUAUAAGGCGUCAAAAACAAAACGAUAAAAGAGGCAAUAGAAGAAAACACCUAGAAGUAUCAGAGCAAUAUACAUUAUCUAGAGACUAAAGCAAUGAGAAGAGUAGAGAGCUAAAAUCACUAAUAAACCAUAAAGUAGUACAACCCAAGAUCCAAAUAUGAGUGCUAAAGGAGUACAUUGGUGGUCUCUAUACAUGGUAAACAAAAUCUCUCGCUCUCCCUAAAUAUAAAAAGAAAGGAAACCACCUAAGAGUAAAAGUGACUCCUCGCUAUCUAGCUAGCGAUCCCCUUGCCGCGGUCCCGUGCCUCCGCCGGUGCAGAGGGCUCUGAAAGGAAAACAUAAAACAGAGAGCGUGAGAACUAUUAAAUAAUAGUUCCCAGUGGGCAAUUACUGACUUCAGUGAAAUGCACCACUAGGCCCAAAACUAAGCAAGUAAGGUAAGUAAGGCAAGUAAGAAUAAUAUGAACAAAUAACUCGCUGACAUGGAAGCUCAAUAUAGCAUGAAGUCACUACUUUCAUCAAUAAUAAUCUACCACAUGAUCUCUACUUAGCAUGGAUUUGCAUAAGUAAUAAAGCAACUACUACAAGCAUGUGUACAAGAGUAUCCAACAUGUAAAUGCAUAAGUAUGCAACUAACCCAAUGUCCACAAUGUAAAUAGUAAAGAUGUCAUUGUUUACUAUUCUAGUCAAUGUCCAAAAGGUACAAUAUGUCACCAGUAACCCAAUCCUGUGGAAGCUACCCGUAGGUAGUCCGGCCUGCGCUGUGCCAACAAUGGCCCCGUGGUAGUCAACAUCCCCACUCUAGGAAUGAGCCUCCCCCACGGCAUUCCAUUUUGGCGCCCAAUUCCGCACGGGCGACCAUAUGUCGCGAUGGCUAUCUCCGGAGUGCCGACUGGUAGGGAGCGACCUUCACAAGUAUGUGCGAAUGAGCACAAUGGCAUGCAAGCGAAUAAGUCCGUCUAAGGUCCCAGUGGUUCAUCACUGUUUCAUCGGAUCUAAAAUUCGGAAUACAGCAUAUGUCCCAAAGGCCUGCCUCUAUAUCAUCGUGUCUAAAACAUGGAAUAUAGUAACUGUCACAAUGGCCUAUCUCUAUGUCAUCAUGUCUAAAACAUGGAAUAUAGCAGAUUUCCAGUGGCCUAUCAUCAUGUCUCUAAGUUGUAGUUCAACGAUUUUCUAGUUCAAGCGCCCCUUUAUGACACUUUUGCUUACUAGGUUCCAAUAUGAAUAAUAACUCUAAAAGCUUGUCAUUCUAAUCAUUUUUCACACAAGAAACAUGAUCUUACAUCAUUCAUUAGAACAUCAAACUCAUGCACACUAACAAUGCAUAUGCUACUCUCUACAACAUACAGUCAAUUUUUCAUGAUGCGUAACAUAGGGGUUUUAAGCACUCUAAAAUUCACAUAAAUUUCAUUUAACAUGAAUAUGCAUGUAUUUAUAGUAUACGAAAACAUUUAACCACAUAGGAGGCAUUUCCUCCCAUUUCAAUGAAGCCAAACCCACCGACGACAACGGAACCCUUCGUUUGCUGCGACGAGGGUAUCCACCACUCUCCUAGUACCCUAAAGGUAUGGAAACAAGUGUCACAAGAACCUUACGAACAACACUUAGCUCAAACAUUAAGCUUUUUAAGCUAAGGUGGGGAAAACUCACCGAAUGUUAAGAAAUCUCCCACGAAUGCCAAAAGGGAGCUAGAGGCCUUCAAAUCCCACCUAAAACAAAGUUCUAAACCAAUCAAUUUGGUUCUAGAAGCUACAAAUCAAAAAUCCCCCAAUUCUAACCCUAGAAUCCAAAAUCUAGGGUUUCCGCUAGCAAAAUCCAUCAAAUCACUAUCAAAAGGGAAAUACAUGAUACCAACCUCUCAAGAAGCUCCAAAACAAGCUCAAAGUCCUCAAGGGUUGAAGUUUGAUCCUCAAUCAAGCUCCACUCCAACUCUCCAAGCUUCUCCAAUGGUGGUAGACCAACAAAAGGCAAGAAGGAGAAGAAAAGAGAGAUCAAAACUAGCUCAAAUCCCUCAAAAAUGAAAAAGAAACCAUGGGGGGAAGAGCUCACCUUAUCUCCUCUGGUCUAGGGCUCAAAAGAGCAGCCAUGGGGGCUGGGGUGACUUUUAUAGAGGUUGCAAUAAUUGCAAAAACACCACUCCACGAAACAGCCCAAACUGCACUGCGUACCGGUACACAAGUUUGUGUACCGGUACACAUCCCACGAACCAGCCCAACCCGAGCCUCGAGUUGGCGCACUGACUGCAAGGGCCGAUGGCUGUACCGGUACAGCCAUCACCGCGUACCGGUACACAGCCCUGCAGCAAGCUACCCGAGAGCUGACCAAAAAUCUGACUUUUCGAAUUUUGGUGCUAGCUUUUAAACCUCCAAUAUCGGGGUUCGAACCAUGGGUCGAAACACUAUCCACGACCCUCCACAAAGUGUGGAAAAGUUCGGAACACAAAUCAAACACUCAAACCUCACUAUUUGCGACGGUUCGGUGUGUUACAGAGUAAUACAAUAACCGUCUCAAAAAGUACACAAAAGGGGUGGUCUCUAUACAUGGGUACAACUCUCAACCUCUCCAAAAUAAAAACAUCGAGAGGGAGACCACCUAUCAAAAGUCCCUCGUCAAAGCUUGCUAGCCCGAGGCGAUACCCUUUCCUCGGUCCCUGGCAUCCCCCGGCGCGGAAGGCUCUGAAAGAAAACAAGAAACAGGGGGCGUGAGAACUAUAAUUUAUAGGUCCCAGUAGACAAUUACUGACGUCAGCACAUUGGGCCACUAGGCCAAAAAGAAUAGGGUAGAUAUGAUAAACAACUGGAAUUAAACUGCAGAUAUGAAGGCAUGUAUAGAACGCUAAAAUAAACUACUAUGUUAUAAGCAAUAUGAUGGCAAUGUGUAGUACAGGGGUUCUAUCAGGCUCAAAUAUGUCCAGUACAAAACUAGUAUGAUUCUACAUGGCAAACAAUUAUACUAAAGUGCAAAGAGCGUUAUAAUCAAGUAUACUACAAGUCCAAACCUAUGCUAUAAGCAUGUCCAAGAAACUUAACUACUAUAAUCUAUUUAGUAGUAAUUUUACUUAUGCGAUUCCGUGUCAGUUUCCAUUUCCCAUUAAGGACCUACCGAAGGUAGUCCGGCUUGUGCCGCCUAAGUGCCUGUGGUAGCCCAACAUUCCCACUCGACGAAUGAGUCUAUCCCACCCGGCCCCGUAGGCUUCUCAAUACCGCACGAGCGAACAUAAGUCGCGAAGGCCAACUCCGGAGUGCCGGCUUGUAGGGCGCGACCCUCACAAGCAUGUGCGAAUGAGCAAAAAUGGCAAGGAAGCGUAGUCAUCGUCUCAAAUAUCCGAUUAUCAUGUCUCUAACAUGGUAACAGUCUUUAGCAACCCAUCGGUCUAGUCCAAUGUCCAACGUGAAGGUUUAACUGUUUAUUAUGUCCAAUGCCCCUUCAUGGCAUUACAACUCACUAUGCCCAAAUCUCGUUCCAACACUAAUGCCACUUCAUGACAUUAGGUUUACUAAGUCCACACAUAUUCCAAGCCUAAUGCCCCUUUAUGACGUUGGCUUAAUAAUUCACAAACCACCCUAGUCUAAUGCUCCUUUUUGACAUUAUCUACUAGGUUCACAUAUAACCCAAGCUCAAUGUCUCUUUAUGACAUUAGCUUACUAAUUCACAUGAUUUUCAAGUCCCAAGCCACUUCAUGGCCUAAUGUAUCCUCACAUGUCCAAGGGUAUAUAUAAUCAUUGUCAUUUCACUAUAUGAAAUAUGAUUCUAAGUCCCGAAUACGAAUGCUGAACUCAUGCAUAAGUCUCACAUGCGAGUUCUCUACUACUUAAAGAUCCAAAAACGCAUUGUAUACAACAUAAGCAUUUUAAACAUUUUAAAAUUCAUAAAUAAUACAUCUAACAUGAAAAUGCAUGAUUUUCCAUUUUACGAUACUUAAAUCCACAAAAAUGAGAUUUUCUCAUUCUUAGAUGAGGUCAAACCUACCGAGCACCGCUAAAACUCUUUCGUUUCGCCGAACGGAGUUGCCCACAAUUCUCCUAGCAGUCGAUCACACAGGCUCGAAGCAUGUCCUCAAGAGUCUGUAUAGUGCGCUCUGACUACCCGUCACUCUGAGGGUGGAAAGCUGUACUAAAAUCCAAGCGCGUUCCCAAGGCAUCUUGUAAGCUCAUCCAAAAAUGAGAUACAAAACUGGGAUCUCGAUCCAAAACUAUAGAAGUAGGUACCCCGUGCAGUCGCACAAUCUCAUCAAGAUAUACCUGUGUGAGUCUCUCACUAGUCCAAGUAGUGUGGAUAGGUAUGAAAUGAGCCGAUUUCGUCAACCUAUCCACGAUCACCCAAAUAGCAUCAUGCCCGGCUUGUGAGCAAGGCAAUCCCAUCACAAAGUCCAUAGUGAUCUUCUCCCACUUCCACACCCGAAUCGGUAAACUCUGCAAUUUUUUCGCGGGAACCAGAUGCUCAGCCUUCACCUGUUGGCAAGUUAAACAUCUAGAAACAAAUUCACCAAUGUCCUUCUUCAUCCCGGGCCACCAAUAAAGCAACUUCAAGUCCUUAUACAUCUUGGUGCCUUCCGGAUGUAUAACAUAAGGUGCACGGUGUGCUUCCUGAAGAAUGUCCUCUUUCAGUGCCGAUUCCGCCGGUACACAAAUCCGCCCGCGGAAACGCAUCAAUCCGAAAUCAUCCACGGUAAAAUCACCGGUGCAACCAUCAACCAAUUUAUCUCUAAUCUUUUGCAAUUCCACAUCGGAAACUUGCUUUGUUUUAAUUCUAUCCAGAAGUGUAGGUUACACUACCAAGGUCAUCAACCUCAAGGGUGUGUCAGGUGUCACCACUUCCAACACCAACUGCUUUAUCUGUUCGAUUAAUUGCGGUUGAUUAACAACAUGCAUCACUAAGUUUUCCGUCGAUUUUCUAUUUAGCGCAUCCGCCACCACGUUAGCCUUGCCCGGGUGGUAAAGAAUCGUCAAAUCAUAAUCCUUGAGGAGCUCCAACCAUCUGCGCUGCCUCAAGUUCAACUCCUUCUGAGUAAAUAAAUACUUUAAGCUCUUGUGAUCCGUAUAUACUUCGCACCGCUCGCCAUAAAGAUAAUGGCGUCAUAGCUUCAAUGCAAAAACUACGGUCGCCAACUCCAAAUCGUGAGUAAGGUAAUUUCUUUCAUAAUCCUUCAAUUGGCGGGAUGCAUACACGAUCACCUUCCCGUCCCGCAUCAAAACGCAACCCAAUCCAUUAAGAGAAGCAUCGCUAUAAAUCACAUACCCUGCUCCAGCAGUCGGCAAGGUAAGGAUCGAGGCAGUCGUCAAUAUUUGCUUCAACUCUUGAAAGCUUCUUUCACACGCAUCAUUCCAAAUGAACUUGGUGCCUUUAUGUGUGAGCCUCGUUAGGGGAGUAGAUAACUUUCAAAUCCCUCAACAAACCGUCGGUAGUAGCCGGCCAAACCAAGAAAGCUCUGAAUCUCCGUGACGCCCGUCAGCCUUGGCCAAUCUUUGAUAGCUUCAAUUUUCCUCAGAUCCACAGCUAUACCCGAUCUAGAAAUCAAAUGGCCCAAAAACGCCACCUCUCUAAGCCAAAACUCAUACUUUUUCAAUUUGGCAUAGAGCUUCCUUUCCUACAGCACUUGAAGUACAAGUCUCAAGUAUUCCUCGUGAUCCACAUCACUUCGGGAAUAGACCAAAAUAUCAUCGAUGAAUACUACGACGAACCUAUCUAGAUAAGGCUUAAAAACACGGUUCAUCAAAUCCAUAAAAGCUGCCGGGGCAUUAGUAAGCCCAAACGGCAUAACUGUAAACUCAUAAUGUUCAUACUGUGUUCUGAAAGCCGUCUUCGACAUAUCCUCAGGCUGGAUCAUUAACUGGUGAUAUCCCGACUGUAAGUCGAUCUUGGAAUAUACACUAGAUCCCUGGAGUUGAUCGAAUAGAUCAUCAAUCCUCGGUAAUGGAUACUUGUUCUUAAUCGUGACUUUAUUAAGUUCACGAUAGUCCAUGCACAAGCGAAGCGAUCCAUCCUUCUUCUUAACAAAUAGGACCGGCGCUCCCCAAGGUGACACACUCGGUCGCACAAAGCCCUUGUCCAAAAGAUCUUGUAACUGUGCCUUCAGCUCCUUCAACUCAGCUGGUGCCAUCCUAUAGGGAGCUUUUGAGAUUGGAGUAGCCCCGGGGACGAGAUCUAUUACAAACUCAAUUUCCCUAUCAGGUGGAAUGCCUGGUAACUCUGCUGGAAACACAUCUCCAAACUCCCGUACUACGGGGAUAUCCUCAAUCCUAGGGGCGCCGACGUCACCCCUCAACACCACAAUAGCCAAAUAGGCUACACAGCCUCUGCUAAUCAACUGCCUAACUCGAGAGGAGCUAAUCGUCAUCGCAAACAGCGAACUCUGGCAUCCAUGAUACACAACCUCCGCCUGCCCCGGCUCUCUAAAAGUCACCGUUCGAUUCUUGCAAUCGAUAGUGGCGAAGUACUUGGUCAACCAAUCGAUGCCCAUCACAAUAUCAAACUCUCCGAGUUUAUGCAAAGCUAGCAAAUCCACAGGCAUGAUCCAAUCUCCAACCCAAAUAGGGCAAUUGGGGCAACACUCCUUAAUGUCCAAGGAGUGGUCGGGGACGACGACCCGUCCCGGAUGCAACAAAGAGACAAGUGGGAUGCCAUGCAACUCGGCAAAUAGCCGGUCUAUGAAUGAAUGCGAUGCAACGGUAUCAAAUAAUGCUCGUACUCGAAUACCAUAAAGUAAAAUGAUACCUGCGACCACAUUCUCGGCUGCUGCCGCCUCCUUAGUCUAGGCAGCGUACAUGCGCCCGCUAGGGGCCUACCGUGACCCCUCCGUCUGCCGCUGAACUGGUGGUCGCCCGGCCUGGUGAUGCGCAGAAAGUGUCCCCUGGCUGGGACCCAGUGAAGCUGGUGCAGAUGACGACGAUGGCGCUAGAACUGAAACCCUCGGGCAGUCCGACUGGAAGUGGCCCUCCUGGCCACACGAAAAGCACCUGCCCCGACUGCGUGUACACUGUCGUGAANGCUCCUACGUCGAGAACGAGCUGAAAUACUAACAGUCGACGGUGGAUUUCAGCAAACAACAAUUUACCGAGUCGAAGCAGUAAAAACUUGCCCAAAAUCCAGGGAAAUGCUGAAAUACUCACCUCGACAACACCGGGCACCGCUGCGACAGAAAAACGGCGAAAACCUCCGCUCGCCCGGCCUGCUCGUAGCAACACGACGACGGAAGUAUGCCCGAACGGCUCUGCGGCGCGACGUCGGCGACGAAUCCGAGCUUCCUCUUGCCUUCAACCGGAUGGGAGAGUGAGAGAGAUGGAGAAUUGCAGCAAGAAGGCCUCUCUCUCUCUCCUUACACGGAACUAUAUAGAGGGGAGUGAAAGAGAUACAAACGAGGCAAGGUAAAAAUACUAAAAAGCCCCUCACCUACUCUGGUGUACCGGUACACGGGAUCGCGUACCGGUACAGGAAGCUAACCCGAGAGCAGUACGCGCUCAGCCAGUAUAGCGUACCGGUACACCUCGCUGGCUAUACCGGUACAGCCAGCAGGAAAAUCUGCUAUUUCGCAGAUUUCUUCGCUGAAGGCUGCUCUCGCGUCCGACGGAGUCCGUUUUGCGUCUAUUUGAUGCCAACGCGACUCGGGCUUGUCCCGACACUCUCCAGAGCUGUCGACAAGCCCCCACAGCCAGACACCAGGGAUCUCACAGUAUAGGGGGCCGAGAAUUCAUGUUUUAUACCGUUUGAAACACAGAAAUCAACAAAUUUAGAAUUUAUGAAUUCUCCCCCUUGAUCGCUUCGAAUGCGUAUAAUUUUAUCAUUUCGUUCAGUCAUAAGACGGAGACAGAUUUCAGAAAAAGAAUUAAAAGUAUCAGCUUUUUCUCGUAAGAAAGCACUCCAUACAUAGCGAGUAAAAUCAUCAACAAUAAGCAGAAUAUAACGUUUUCCACCCAAACUUUGAAUCCUAGAUGGUCCCAUCAAGUCCAUGUGAAGUAACUCUAGAGGUUUAGUUGUCCCUAAGUGGUUCAAGUUCUUAUGUGUGGAUCUAGUUUGUUUCCCUAAUUGGCAACCCCCACACACAGUGUUCUCUUUAUAGUCAAUCUUAGGUACACCUCUAACUACCUCCUUCUUGGUGAUCUUAGAUAGCUCCUUAAAAUUGAUGUGACCUAGUCGUUCAUGCCAUAAAGUUUCAGUUUCUAAUGACGCUAGGUUACAAUGUUCAGUGGCCGAACUAGGAACUACAUAACAAUUAUUCUGAGAUCUAAUGCCCUUUAAGAAUAAAUUGUCAUCACGAGUCACAUGGCAUUCUUUAUCAGAAAAGUUCACCGAAUACCCAUCAUCACACAAUUGACUUAUGCUUACGAGAUUAGAUUUAAGCCCUUCAACAUAAAAAACAUCAUUCAACGUAGGACCGUCUGAGAUAGUCACUGUUCCUUUUCCAACGAUUUUUGACGAUCGACCGUCUCCAAAAACAACAAGUCCUCCGGAGAUUUUGGUCAAAGAAGUAAACCAAUUUUUAUCUCCGGUCAUGUGACGGGAACAGCCACUAUCCAGAUACCAAGAUGAGUUAUCGUAAGCAUGAAGUGAAGUGUGAAUGACUAGGCAUGGGAAGAGUUCACCUUUGCGCACCCAAACCUUACGUGUUUUGGGUUGUGUCCGUUCGCUUGCUUUUGUUGAUCGUGGCUUGUCGACGAUUUGAAUUGACUUCCCCUUCAUGUCCUCCUUCUUUGGUUUCCAUGCUUGUUUUGCCUUUGGCUUUGGAAUAUUUGGUGUCCGAAUUUGGCUCUUCUUUUGUUCUAUUUUCUUUGGAGUCACAAUUGACUUCAAUGUCGUUCUAGGGUCACUCUUCAAGAGAGCUAUUGAGCUCUUUCCCUUUUGAAAGCAGACUUUCUUUAUGUGUCCUAAAACACCACAAAUAUGACAAGUUUUGUUAGUCAAAUUGUGUUUAGGAGAGACAAACUUACCAUAAAGUUUAGGUACAGCAGUCGACGAGUUUCCAUCAUCCUUCUUCAUAACUUGAUCAAUAUAUGUCCGUUCAUAACCAAGUCCAAGUUUAUUGGUUUGACCAAGUCCAAGCAUCUUGUCUAGUUUGCUCGAGCCAGAUGAAAAUUGGUUCAAAUCUGACUUCAGUUGAAUGAUCGUCUUGGUGAAUUCCAUAUUUGCUUCUCUAGCUUCUGAGUUUUGCUUGGUAAGAAAAUUGAUGUUCUCCGCUUGAGUCUCCUUUUCUUUUUCAAGUAACGAACACUUCUCAAGCAAAGAAUUGUAAGCCUUGGUCAACCCAUCUCUCUCUUGUUCUAAAUCCUUUGUUAGAGAGACCAACUUUGAAUUUUCUUGUUCCAACUCAUGUAGACUACGCCGAAGUCUCUUGUUGUGUUUAGCCAUCUUCUUUGAUUCAACAACUAAUUGUUGAUAUGCUGCGACCAUGUCAUCUUCGUCUGAGUCUUCAUCCGAUGAGUUCUCCGAAGAUGACUUCUCUUGUAUAGAUGUCGUAGAAAUCGAGUCAGUAGAUGCUAGACACAUGAACGUUGAAUCCUGUGCAAACAGUGCCGUGGCAUUUACAUCCUCUUCGCUUGAAGUAGAAUCGUCAGAUGAGGAGUCGUCCCAAGUCAUAGCUUGCAUAGCUUUCUUCUUCAACGUCUUUUUAUUAGGACAGUCAGACGCUAUAUGGCCAAAGCCCCUACACUUGUAGCAUUGGAUUUGACCUUCACCGCUUUUCCUCUCUUUUGUGGAGUCCUUUUGAGAGUUAUCAGAUUUUCUGUAUUUUGACGAAGAAGAAGAAGACGGACCCCCUUUAGAUUUGUUUGUCUUUGAUGAAGUAGACUUGGGAGGAAACUUCUUUCUAAAGUUCCGACGGAACUUCUUUGUUAGAAGUGCGAGUUGUUUCUCAAAGUCCUCCAAGCUUUGCUCCGACUCUGAAUCUGAUGAGGUUGACGAGAUAUCUCCUUUUGUUGAUUUUAGAGCCAUGCCUGAGGCUUUAGAAAAAGACUUGGAAGAAGACGAAUUAGAAGGAAAAGUCAUUUCAUACGUUUGAAGAGCACCAACUAAUUCAUCUACUUUGAGUUCAUCCGGAUGUUUUACCGUUUUAAUGGCCGCAACCUUGGGACAAAAACGUUCGGGAAGAGUUCUCAAAAUUUUUCGAACGAUUUUUGGUUCAGAAAUUUUUUCACCCAAAUUUGCACAAGUAUUAACAAUAUCUUGAAGACGAGUGUAAUACUCGGUAAAGGUUUCAUUUUCUUCCAUACGAAUAGAAUCAAAACGACUAGUCAACAUUUGUAAUUUCUGAACCUUUACCAAGCUUGUACCCUCGUGAGUGAUUUAUAAGGUGUCCCAAAUUUCUUUGGCGGUUUCACAUGCCGAUACUCGUGAAAAUUCACUUUGAUUCAACGCAUUGAACAAAGCAUUGAUACCCUUCCCAUUGAACGAAGAUAGUUCAUUUUCGUCUUUUGUCCACUUAUUUCUAGGUUUCGGACCGGUAACAUUCUCGACCACUUCAGUAGGAUGUUUCCAUCCGAAUUCAACGGCUUGCCAAACCCUCUCGUCGAUAGCAAUAAGAAACGCCCUCAUACGGACUUUCCAAUACGCGUAGUUAGUGCCAUCGAAGAGAGGGGGUCGAUUAACGUUGCCGCCCUCGGCCAUAGAUUACAACCUAUACCCGCUCUGAUACCACUUGUAAGAUAUGAAUCCCUAGGAUCUAAAAGGUAAAAGACACCUAGAGGGGGGUGAAUAGGUGUAAACGGCAACAAUCUCGAAACUCGAUGCAAAUUUAAAAUAGAAUGCGGAAAAAUAAAAUCAGCACACCGAGAAUUAACGUGGGAAAACUCCAAACCGGAGAGAAAAACCCACGGGACCAACCACACAAAGAAAUCCACUAAGAAAACAUGAGUACAAGUGAUUUAUCAAAAAUACAAGACUCGAAAUACCGAAUUCUCGUUGUAGAAUAUCUUUGCCAGUCCUCGAUCGCUUGAAAUCCUCCAACCGAUCACACUGCAACCUAGCAGCGUCAACUGCUCAUCCCUCGAAGCGUCCACCGAAUCGCUCGCUUCACCGAGAUGCAGUGCCGACCUCCUCCGGCUUGUAGAAUUGAAGAUUUGUGGUGAUUUAACUUUUGAAAAUAAGGCUAUGAGAGGUUACUUUAAAUAAUACAUACUACUUGAUUUGUAGGAAGUACCGAGUAAAAACGAAGAAUAACGAUGUUGAUUGCUUUGAACUCAUUCAUGGUAAAUGAGAGCAUUGAAAGAGAGAGGAGAGUGUGUUAGGUUUGGAAUUUGGUAAAAUAUUCAAAGCCUCAAUUUGAGACGACGGCCACAUAGCUUAUUGAAUGUUAGAAGACUUAGAAGUAGAAUGGAUGCAAAAGUCGAUUUUAAAAACCUUGUGUCGUCCUCAGAGACGGGUGCGCUGUCGAGGAGACCGGUCUGUCGAGAGAACCGGUCUCUCAAGUGAGGAACGGUCUCCUGCGGUUGAGCCAAAAAACCAACUUCAGGAACGCCGGUCUCUCAAACUUGGACCGAUCCCUCGUCGGCGCACGAAGAUCACCAAGGUUCGGGAACCGGUCUCUCAUCACAGGGGACCGGUUGCAUCAAGGUUUACGCAGUGAGGACCUUGGGAGAACCGGUCUCUCCAUUUCAGAGACCGGUCCCAGAACACAAGAAAGUUCAGAAAAUUUGUUUAAAAACAAUCUAAGCCUUCUGAACUUAUUUUAAUCAUGUAUCUUCACCACAAAUGAUCUUUUCUACAUACCUUAGGUGUCGAUCUUUCCGAAUGAGUCUUUGUCCUCCAAUUUGAAUCUUUUCUCAAAAACUUCUGCGAUCAACUCUUCCAGACUCCAAACAACUUUACGAAAUUCGCCAACCUAUAAAAUCCUUAACAUCUUUUUCUCGAUGUUUUUCAGAGCCUUCCGCGCAUGGGGAGGCCAGGGAUCGCGGAAAGGGUACCGCCUCGGGCUAGCGUGCUCGCCGAGGGAUCGUUCGAUACUCUCAUUUUUUUUUUCUUUUUGUGAGAGGUUGAGAGUUUC
This 15703-nucleotide long non-coding RNA is filed under the name Ananas comosus (pineapple). RNAcentral describes it as "long non-coding RNA (ACOM_LNC005565)". Lineage: Eukaryota; Viridiplantae; Streptophyta; Magnoliopsida; Poales; Bromeliaceae. The record is from RNAcentral.